This 252-nucleotide ribosomal RNA is filed under the name uncultured bacterium. Its description in RNAcentral is "partial 16S ribosomal RNA". It matches the Rfam family "Bacterial small subunit ribosomal RNA", at positions 524 to 776 of the family's 1533-position model. The record is from RNAcentral.
UACGUAGGGGGCAAGCGUUGUCCGGAUUUAUUGGGCGUAAAGAGCGUGUAGGCGGCCUGACAGGUCUGCUGUGAAAACUCGAGGCUCAAACCUCGAGAUGUCGGCGGAAACCGUCUGGCUAGAGUCCGGAAGAGGAGAGUGGAAUUCCUGGUGUAGCGGUGAAAUGCGCAGAUAUCAGGAGGAACACCGAUGGCGAAGGCAGCUCGCUGGGACGGUACUGACGCUGAGACGCGAAAGCUGGGGAGAAACAGG